CCCUUAGAUGUUCUGGGCCGCACGCGUGCUACACUGAGUAAUUCAAUGGGUAAGGGAACGCUAGAGCAUUACCUAAUCUUGAAAUUUGCUCGUGAUGGGGAUCGACGGUUGCAAUUUUCCGUCGUGAACGAGGAAUACCUUGUAGGCGCAUAUCAUCAUCAUGCGCCGAAUACGUCCCUGCCCUUUGUACACACCGCCCGUCGCUCCUACCGAUUGAGUGAUCCGGUGAGGCUCUGGGACCUGGACGGAAAGAGCGUUUCGCUUGUUCUGUUUGGGAAACUUGGUCGAACCUUAUCAUUUAGAGGAAGGAGAAGUCGUAACA
This 322-nucleotide ribosomal RNA is filed under the name uncultured eukaryote. Its description in RNAcentral is "partial 18S ribosomal RNA". It matches the Rfam family "Eukaryotic small subunit ribosomal RNA", at positions 1470 to 1796 of the family's 1831-position model. The record is from RNAcentral.